Apteryx rowi (Okarito brown kiwi) is the source of this 1638-nucleotide long non-coding RNA. Lineage: Eukaryota; Metazoa; Chordata; Aves; Apterygiformes; Apterygidae. The record is from Ensembl.
CUUCACUCUCUAACCUCUUUGCAGGGACCACAGACACAGAUGUGACAGUGAAGGUGUCCCCAACUUUCUCUGCCUUCUCGAGACCCACAGAGACCUCAGCGUUUCUGCCCACCACUACCUCCACCAGCACAGCCACCACUCCUCCCUCCAGCUCUGAAGUGGAAACCUCCACCCUGGAGGAGAGGUCCAGCACGCCACCGUACACCUUCACAGCCAGCACUACAACUACUUGGGGCAGCAGCCCUGCAGCCUCUAACGUCACCACACCGGCUGAGAGGGGCAGCACAGCCUACAGCUCUGCCAGUUUGCCCGCUGGCACCACCACAGUCCAGAUAGUCUCCAUCACCACAGGAAAGGGGACCACCACUGAUGCCCAGUCUCCAACCACUGCAGCCAUGACGUCCACCUGUGCCGAGAUGACAGCCAGCACGUCCACGGGGACCAGCAUGGCUCCAGGCGUCAGCUCAACCAGAGGCGACACAACCACAGUGCCUCCCUCCACCUCCUCUCUUCUUACUUCCACCAUGGAGGGCACCACACUUGCCACAAGCACCAGUGAAGAGCCAGCCAUGACCUCACCGCUUCAUAGCACAUCACAGGAGACCAGCAGUGCAUCUCCCUCUACAGUGAUGCCUCCCAUCACAACAGAAGAGACAAUCACUUCAGCUGGGUCCUCGACAUUGCUGGAAGGCACCACAACUGCCUCUGUCACCAGCACAGCGGUCUCAGAGAGCACCCCCACUGCCACCCAGCCAGAGACCACAGCUGAGACCACCUCUGCUAUCUCCACCCCGACCUCAGGGACAGCCCCAGACACCACGACAGCGCCUCAAACCUCAAGUGCAGCAACAAGCACCGCUGGUGUAACCUCACUUUAUCCAUCCAUGGAGCCCUCUUCCCCUGUCACUGACUCAACCCAGAGUCCAGAGGUUAGCAGCACCACCACCGCAGAUGAGCCAACGACACCACUGGUCUGCCCCAGUGCUGCGACUAACACCAGUGCAUCUCACCUCUUUCUGUCACUGCGCCUAACUGUUCCCCUGGACCUUGAAAACUCCAUGGCCCAGGAGCUGAUUUUGUCCAAGCUCCGUGGGGAUCUGCAGACUGCGUUCCCGUGUGCUGGCUUCACAGUGGAGUGGAGAGGGAAGAGAAGGACCUGAAUGCUCUCCUCCCAGCCUGACGACCUGCAGGGCAGGGACCUGAGUAAAUUUGCAAGUGUUCUGCUCUCAGUUCUUUUCCAUGUUGGUGUGGCUCUCUAGGGUAACCUGUGCAGCUCCUGUUGAACCCGGACCCCUCCAUCCAACACUUCAUCCCCCCGCAAUGACCACCAGUGCACCCUGCAUCCUGUUGUUCUCCCGGGCUGGGAUUGUCCCUGCCACUUCCUGCAGUCUGUCUGCAUCUUGCCCCAUGCUGCAGAGCUCAAGCCCUCCCAUGGCCUUGUACCAGUCCCARUGCCCACAUUUGGGCCCUUCUGCUGUCCCCUGGCUCUCUCAGGGGGCUGGAAGGAGAGACAGGCUGCCCAUGAGACCCUACAAGGGCUGGCCUUUUGUGGCCGGGAUGGCAAUGAGGGAUGGCUGAGUCAUAAAAGUCACCCUUGGAGCUAAUAAAUAAGAGAAAGGAGAUCUGGAGACUCUGCUC